Molecule: ribosomal RNA, 1524 nt
Filed under: Triticum aestivum (bread wheat)
Lineage: Eukaryota; Viridiplantae; Streptophyta; Magnoliopsida; Poales; Poaceae
Description: partial small subunit ribosomal RNA
Source: RNAcentral
AUGUUCCAAGGUGAUAUCAUGGGCUACCUAGAGUCCGCUCUGGACGGAGGAGCUCACCCGAGCAGCUCCACUGCGACGGCUGGGCGCAGUCCGCGGCGACCACAACGCCCGCGGAGGUCAUCCCUGGACCGGUCCGGUCGGGAUCCUGCCGGAUCCAUGCACGCCGGCGCUCACGGAGGGCGGCAGUUGCCGCGGCGGCGGGCGGGAUGGUGGCGGCGUGAUGUUGAUGGUGAAGGGGUCACGCUGGGCGGUGGAGACGGCUACGCGCAGGGUGCUGGCGGGGUCCGGGGCGGCGCCGGCGAGUUGGGAUUGGGGGUUUCCUGGGGCGGCGGCGCCUUGCAUUGCCGGGGCAGCGGCAGCGGCGGGCGGGGUCACCGAUAUAUUGAACUAAAAAAUCCCACCCCCACCCUGCCGACUAACCCCCAUCUUACCUUCUCCUGGUCGGCGCCGCCCGCCCACCACCUCCUCCCCAGCUCCCGGCGCCCCGUCCCUACCACCGUCUUGGCGACCCUCCCCCACCCCCGCAACGGACCGUCGCAUCCGCGUUGCUGCAUCCCGCGGCCACUGCGCGCCGUCCAACUCGGCAGUCCAACUGCUUGCUUCAUGCUCGGUCGCUCAAGGAGCUGCGUGAAGGUCACCCCGCGCUCCACCUUCCGGACACGCGACCCCGUCGCCGUGCUCCUGCAGCCACCUCCGGGGCGGUGCGCCCGGCCUCCUCUCUCCUCCUGCCACCUCCUAGCGCCGCGCCGAGCACACCCCGGGCUGCCUCUUCCUCUUGCUUACUCCCGCACGAGGCACGCUGCGCCGAGCACGCACCCGGCCGCCCCCCACCUCCGUUCAUUUUACAGGUCAAGGACAAUCCUGAAGCGCCUCCUCAAGCUCUGCGACGAUAACUGGGCGCCCAUCGAGGACGAGAGCUACCGCAUCCUUAUUGACACCAUACUGGGUGGCAAAAGCAAUGAACCAAUACCUACCACUACCCGUCAUCCUUUCCAAAUUGCAGUUUUCACAUCAGGUGACGUGCCAAAAAGAGUCCAAGGCUCACAACCCAACGCGGGGUCAGACCAGAUGACCAACACCUCUCCUGCUCAGUAUGACAAGGAUGUCAGUGAUAAUGAAAACCUCCCUCUCAGCAGAGCGGCGGAGUGCAUACUUGCCAUCUACAUUUCAGAGCCCCAUCAGUUCAGUGAUCUCUCUCCCGUUUCAUGCGAUGAGCCCGUCCCCAGCACCGCCAGCCUCCUGUCCUUCCCUCCCGCUUCCACAUGCACCCACCGCCGCCACGACCACGUCUCCACCCUCCCCACGCCCGCCACCGCUGUGACCACCCCUCCCCCUCACGAUUUAUCGUUGAUAUCGCUGUAUUCGUGCUUGUUACGUGAGUUGCCUGAUGGAAGUUCUGCAACUGUCAGUCCAGAUGGAAGAAGGAUAUCCGUCCAAAGUGUGAGUUUUGCGACGUCGACGUGCAAAUUCUACAAUUUAUCCGUCCAGAUGGGAGAAGGAGAUCAGUCCAACCGACGCAUCUGA